RNAcentral lists this non-coding RNA (29 nucleotides) under Homo sapiens (human). The record is from RNAcentral. Lineage: Eukaryota; Metazoa; Chordata; Mammalia; Primates; Hominidae.
UGGGAGGAUAAACCUGUGUGUUUGAAGCC